CCCUGACGCCGAUCGCCGGCAAUUUCUCAAAACAAAAAAAGGCCGCGCGAUCAGCACGGCCUUUCCUGUUGGUCGGA
This 77-nucleotide unclassified non-coding RNA is filed under the name Bradyrhizobium erythrophlei. Its description in RNAcentral is "suhB". The record is from RNAcentral. Lineage: Bacteria; Pseudomonadati; Pseudomonadota; Alphaproteobacteria; Hyphomicrobiales; Nitrobacteraceae.